This 497-nucleotide ribosomal RNA is filed under the name uncultured bacterium. RNAcentral's name for it is "partial 16S ribosomal RNA". It matches the Rfam family "Bacterial small subunit ribosomal RNA", at positions 28 to 507 of the family's 1533-position model. The record is from RNAcentral.
GAUGAACGCUGGCGGCGUGCCUAAUACAUGCAAGUCGAGCGAACGGACGAGAAGCUUGCUUUUCUGAUGUUAGCGGCGGACGGGUGAGUAACACGUGGAUAACCUACCUAUAAGACUGGGAUAACUUCGGGAAACCGGAGCUAAUACCGGAUAAUAUUUUGAACCGCAUGGUUCAAAAGUGAAAGACGGUCUUGCUGUCACUUAUAGAUGGAUCCGCGCUGCAUUAGCUAGUUGGUAAGGUAACGGCUUACCAAGGCAACGAUGCAUAGCCGACCUGAGAGGGUGAUCAGCCACACUGGAACUGAGACACGGUCCAGACUCCUACGGGAGGCAGCAGUAGGGAAUCUUCCACAAUGGGCGAAAGCCUGACGGAGCAACGCCGCGUGAGUGAUGAAGGUCUUCGGAUCGUAAAACGCUGUUAUUAGGGAAGAACAUAUGUGUAAGAAACUGUGCACAUCUUGACGGUACCUAAUCAGAAAGCCACGGCUAACUACGUG